RNAcentral lists this long non-coding RNA (280 nucleotides) under Rattus norvegicus (Norway rat). Its description in RNAcentral is "long non-coding RNA NONRATT018105". The record is from RNAcentral. Lineage: Eukaryota; Metazoa; Chordata; Mammalia; Rodentia; Muridae.
AAGGAACAUGUGAUUGAGGCUCUGCGCAGGGCCAAGUUCAAGUUCCCUGGCUGCCAGAAGAUCCACAUCUCAAAGAAAUGGGGUUUCACCAAGUUCAAUGCAGAUGAAUUUGAAGACAUGGUUGCUGAGAAGCAGCUCAUUCCUGAUGGCUGUGGUGUCAAAUAUAUCCCCAAUCGUGGUCCUCUUGACAAGUGGAGAGCCCUGCAUUCCUGAAGGCUUCCACAGUGCUCUCCUAUACCCUAUCAAAUCAUGUUCAAUAAUAAAUCUCACAUCAAAUCUG